RNAcentral lists this long non-coding RNA (1107 nucleotides) under Struthio camelus australis. Its description in RNAcentral is "lncRNA (ENSSCUG00000012454.1)". The record is from RNAcentral. Lineage: Eukaryota; Metazoa; Chordata; Aves; Struthioniformes; Struthionidae.
CAGGGUUUGAGGGACACCUGGGGCAUCUGUGGGUGCUACAAGGGUGCCAUGGGGUGGUGGAGCACCUUGGAAACCUGCUGGACCCACCAGGGACCGGCGGAAACCCAGGGGUGCUACGGGGUGCCCAUGGGGUGAUGGAGCACCUUGGGGACCUCCUGGACCCAUCAGAGGUUGAGAGACACCUGGGGCACCUGUGGGUGCUAUGGGGAGCCCAUGGGAUGGUGGAGCACCUAUGGGACCUCCUGGACCCACCAAGGACUGGGGGAAACCCAGGGGUGCUAUGGGGUGCCCAUGGGGUGGUGGAGCACCUUGGGGACCUCCUGGACCCCCCAGGGUUUGAGGGACACCUGGGGCAUCUGUGGGUGCUACAAGGGUGCCAUGGGGUGGUGGAGCACCUUGGAAACCUGCUGGACCCACCAGGGACCGGCGGAAACCCAGGGGUGCUAUGGGGUGCCCAUGGGGUGGUGGAGCACCUUGGGGACCUCCUGGACCCACCAGGGACCGGGGGAAACCCAGGGGUGCUACGGGGUGCCCAUGGGGUGAUGGAGCACCUUGGGGACCUCCUGGACCCAUCAGAGGUUGAGAGACACCUGGGGCACCUGUGGGUGCUAUGGGGAGCCCAUGGGAUGGUGGAGCACCUAUGGGACCUCCUGGACCCACCAGGGACCGGGGGAAACCCAGGGGUGCUACGGGGUGCCCAUGGGGUGAUGGAGCACCUUGGGGACCUCCUGGACCCAUCAGAAGUUGAGAGACACCUGGGGCACCUGUGGGUGCUAUGGGGAGCCCAUGGGAUGGUGGAGCACCUAUGGGACCUCCUGGACCCACCAGGGACCGGGGGAAACCCAGGGGUGCUAUGGGGUGGCCAUGGUGGGGGUCAUGGCACCCAUGGGACCUCCAGGUCCCACCCAGGAUCUAGGGGACACCGGGGGCACCCAUGGGGGCCGCGCGCACUCACGUUGGCCACGAAGACCUCGCUCUGCCCCGUCUCCAGCAUCUGCUCCAGCUCCUCCUCCGACUUCUCCUUUUCUGUAAGAUAAAUUAUUUUCCUAUGUUAACUUACAAAUUAAAUAAAAUCAGAUCAUAACAUCCAUAUUCACACCUCAUAAU